UUUGAUUACUUUACGCAGACUAAUUGAGAGCUUGAACCGUCCAUUUUAGCUUUCGCCCAGAAAAAAACAAAGAAACUCUCUCUCUCUCAGCCUCACAAGCAGCUAUCGCUAAAUGCUAAGCCCAAAUUUGAAUUUGGAUCCUCUCGACAAUUUUUAAUUUUUAAUUUUUAAUUUUUUUUUCUUCGCACAUGGCAUUUAGUUUAGCAAAAUAGUGGGUCUCAUUGGUGCCACGUCAUCAUUUUUAAAGGAAUUUUUAACAGACUUGACAGUGAUGGGCAAUGUGAGACACAAAACAUUGGUCAAGAGGACGAAGUUGGUCACUUUAACUUUAAGGGGAUUUAGUGGGACUUGACCAAUGUUUCAAGAGGCACUGUAGCACUUAAACCUAAAAGUUAAGUUUUACUUAUAGAAAAAUAGGGUGAUGAACAUUUCUACCCUUCACCAAU
This 446-nucleotide long non-coding RNA is filed under the name Prunus persica (peach). Its description in RNAcentral is "long non-coding RNA (PPER_LNC003666)". Lineage: Eukaryota; Viridiplantae; Streptophyta; Magnoliopsida; Rosales; Rosaceae. The record is from RNAcentral.